Molecule: ribosomal RNA, 522 nt
Filed under: uncultured bacterium
Lineage: Bacteria
Description: bacterial SSU rRNA
Rfam family: Bacterial small subunit ribosomal RNA
Source: RNAcentral
GACGAACGCUGGCGGCGUGCUUAACACAUGCAAGUCACGGGGGCCCGCAAGGGCAACCGGCGAACGGGUGCGUAACACGUGAGCAAGCUUCCGAUUUGUGGGGGAUAGCCGGCCUAACGGCCGGGUAAUACCGCAUACGUUCACCGGACGGCAUCGUCUGGCGAGGAAACCUCCGGGGCAAAUCGAGGCGCUCGCGGCCUAUCAGCUAGUUGGCGGGGUAACGGCCCACCAAGGCGACGACGGGUAGCUGGUCUGAGAGGAUGGCCGGCCACAUUGGGACUGCGACACGGCCCAGACUCCUACGGGAGGCAGCAGUGGGGAAUAUUGCGCAAUGGACGAAAGUCUGACGCAGCGACGCCGCGUGUGGGAUGACGCCUUUCGGGGUGUAAACCACUGUUGCCCGGGACGAAACUCCUUUUUCGUAGAGGAUUGACGGUACCGGGUGAGGAAGCACCGGCUAACUCUGUGCCAGCAGCCGCGGUAAUACAGAGGGUGCGAGCGUUGUCCGGAUCACUGGCGUAA